Molecule: ribosomal RNA, 484 nt
Filed under: uncultured Desulfobulbus sp.
Lineage: Bacteria; Pseudomonadati; Thermodesulfobacteriota; Desulfobulbia; Desulfobulbales; Desulfobulbaceae
Description: bacterial SSU rRNA
Rfam family: Bacterial small subunit ribosomal RNA
Source: RNAcentral
AACUCAAAGGAAGUUGACGGGGGCCCGCACAAGCGGUGGAGCACGUGGUUUAAUUCGAUGAUACGCGAGGAACCUUACCAGGGCUUGACAUACGCUGGAAUGGGCGGGAGACCGUUCAGCCUUUCGGGGCCGGCGUACAGGUGCUGCAUGGCUGUCGUCAGCUCGUGCUGUGAAGUGUUGGGUUAAGUCCCGCAACGAGCGCAACCCUUGCCUUUAGUUGCCAGCAGUUCGGCUGGGCACUCUAAAGGGACUGCCGGUGUUAAACCGGAGGAAGGUGGGGAUGACGUCAAGUCCUCAUGGCCUUUAUGACCAGGGCUACACACGUACUACAAUGGCCGAUACAAAGGGCAGCGACACUGCGAGGUGAAGCCAAUCCCGUAAAAUCGGUCUCAGUCCGGAUUGGAGUCUGCAACUCGACUCCAUGAAGUUGGAAUCGCUAGUAAUCGUGGAUCAGCAUGCCACGGUGAAUACGUUCCCGGGCCUU